UGGGGAAUAUUGGACAAUGGGCGCAAGCCUGAUCCAGCCAUGCCGCGUGGAUGAAGAAGGCCCUAGGGUUGUAAAGUCCUUUCGUCAGGGACGAUAAUGACGGUACCUGAAGAAGAAGCCCCGGCUAAUUUCGUGCCAGCAGCCGCGGUAAUACGAAAGGGGCUAGCGUUGUUCGGAAUUACUGGGCGUAAAGCGCACGUAGGCGGCCUUGUAAGUUGGGGGUGAAAUCCCCGGGCUCAACCCGGGAACUGCCUUCAAGACUGCAAAGCUAGAGGAUGCGAGAGGUUGGCGGAAUUCCGAGUGUAGAGGUGAAAUUCGUAGAUAUUCGGAAGAACACCAGUGGCGAAGGCGGCCAACUGGCGCAUUUCUGACGCUGAGGUGCGAAAGCGUGGGGAGCAAACAGG
Molecule: ribosomal RNA, 404 nt
Filed under: uncultured bacterium
Lineage: Bacteria
Description: bacterial SSU rRNA
Rfam family: Bacterial small subunit ribosomal RNA
Source: RNAcentral